GACGAACGCUGGCGGCGUGCUUAACACAUGCAAGUCGAACGGAAAGGCCCUGCUUUUGUGGGGUGCUCGAGUGGCGAACGGGUGAGUAACACGUGAGUAACCUUCCCUUGACUUUGGGAUAACUUCAGGAAACUGGGGCUAAUACCGGCUAGGAGCUCCUGCUGCAUGGUGGGGGUUGGACAGUUUCGGCGGUUGGGGAUGGACGGGCGGCUUAUCAGCUUGUUGGUGGGGUAGUGGCUUACCAAGGCUUUGACGGGUAGCCGGCCUGAGAGGGUGACCGGCGACAUUGGGACUGAGAUACGGCCCAGACUCCUACGGGAGGCAGCAGUGGGGAAUAUUGCACAAUGGGCGGAAGCCUGAUGCAGCAACGCCGCGUGCGGGAUGACGGCCUUCGGGUUGUAAACCGCUUUCGCCUGUGACGAAGCGGGAGUGACGGUAAUGGGUAAAGAAGCACCGGCUAACUACGUG
Molecule: ribosomal RNA, 468 nt
Filed under: uncultured bacterium
Lineage: Bacteria
Description: partial 16S ribosomal RNA
Rfam family: Bacterial small subunit ribosomal RNA
Source: RNAcentral